AUUGAACGCUGGCGGCAGGCCUAACACAUGCAAGUCGAACGGUAGCACAGAGAGCUUGCUCUCGGGUGACGAGUGGCGGACGGGUGAGUAACGUCUGGGAAACUGCCCGAUGGAGGGGGAUAACUACUGGAAACGGUAGCUAAUACCGCAUAACGUCGCAAGACCAAAGUGGGGGACCUUCGGGCCUCACACCAUCGGAUGUGCCCAGAUGGGAUUAGCUAGUAGGUGGGGGAAUGGCUCACCUAGGCGACGAUCCCUAGCUGGUCUGAGAGGAUGACCAGCGACACUGGAACUGAGACACGGUCCAGACUCCGACGGGAGGCAGCAGUGGGGAAUAUUGCACAAUGGGCGCAAGCCUGAUGCAGCCAUGCCGCGUGUAUGAAGAAGGCCUUCGGGUUGUAAAGUACUUUAAGCGGGGAGGAAGGCGGUGAAGUUAAUAGCUUCACCGAUUGACGUUACCCGCAGAAGAAGCACCGGCUAACUCCGUGCCAGCCGCCGCAGUAA
RNAcentral lists this ribosomal RNA (504 nucleotides) under uncultured bacterium. RNAcentral describes it as "partial 16S ribosomal RNA". It matches the Rfam family "Bacterial small subunit ribosomal RNA", at positions 29 to 523 of the family's 1533-position model. The record is from RNAcentral.